RNAcentral lists this ribosomal RNA (254 nucleotides) under uncultured bacterium. Its description in RNAcentral is "partial 16S ribosomal RNA". It matches the Rfam family "Bacterial small subunit ribosomal RNA", at positions 524 to 776 of the family's 1533-position model. The record is from RNAcentral.
UACAGAGGUGGCAAGCGUUGUUCGGAAUUACUGGGCGUAAAGGGCGCGUAGGCGGCCUUGUAAGUCUCGUGUGAAAGCCCUCGGCUUAACUAAGGAUCUGCACGGGAUACUGCGAGGCUUGAGUUCGGGAGAGGAAAGCGGAAUUCCGGGUGUAGCGGUGAAAUGCGUAGAUAUCCGGAGGAACACCAGUGGCGAAGGCGGCUUUCUGGACCGACACUGACGCUGAGUGCGCGAAAGCUAGGGGAGCAAACGGG